AUUGCUUCUCGGCCUUUCGGCUAAGAUCAAAGUGUAGUAUCUCUUCAUGGCAGAAAUGAAACUAAUAAUACUAAUUUCUUUAGUUAUCAAAAGCUUUUUGUACUUGAUUGUACUGUACCUACUAUGAAAAACGAUCCUG
Sitophilus oryzae (rice weevil) is the source of this 139-nucleotide small nuclear RNA. RefSeq annotates it as U2 spliceosomal RNA. The transcript has a single exon. The record is from RefSeq and is a predicted model, not a curated record. NCBI's taxonomy places the organism in Eukaryota, Metazoa, Arthropoda, Insecta, Coleoptera, Curculionidae.